GCAAGUCGAGGGGUAACAUGGUCUUCGGACUGAUGACGACCGGCGCACGGGUGCGUAACGCGUAUGCAACCUACCCUAAACAGGGGGAUAGCCCAGAGAAAUUUGGAUUAAUACUCCAUGGUACUAUAAGGAGGCAUCUUCUAAUAGUUAAAGAUUUAUUGGUUUGGGAUGGGCAUGCGUAAGAUUAGCAAGUUGGUGAGGUAACGGCUCACCAAUGCAACGAUCUUUAGGGGGUCUGAGAGGAUGGUC
Molecule: ribosomal RNA, 249 nt
Filed under: uncultured bacterium
Lineage: Bacteria
Description: partial 16S ribosomal RNA
Rfam family: Bacterial small subunit ribosomal RNA
Source: RNAcentral